UCCCUGGUGGUCCAGUGGCUAAGACUCUGAGCUACCGAUGCAGGGAGCCCUGGUUCUAUUCCUGGUCGGGGAA
Molecule: transfer RNA, 73 nt
Filed under: Ovis aries (sheep)
Lineage: Eukaryota; Metazoa; Chordata; Mammalia; Artiodactyla; Bovidae
Rfam family: tRNA
About the family: Transfer RNA (tRNA) molecules are approximately 80 nucleotides in length.
Source: Rfam by way of RNAcentral